AGCGUAUAUUAAAGUUGUUGCAGUUAAAAAGCUCGUAGUUGAAUUUCGGGAUCAAUACGUCGGUCGUGCCUCGGUACGUACUGGCGUCAUUGAUUUCUCCCUUCUGAGGAACCUUGAUGCCAUUAACUUGGUGUCAUGGGAAAUCAGGACUGUUACUUUGAAAAAAUUAGAGUGUUUAAAGCAGGCUCACGUUUGAAUACAUUAGCAUGGAAUAAUGAAAUAGGACGUUCGACCCUAUUUUGUUGGUUUCUAGGAUCAACGUAAUGAUUAAUAGGGAUAGUUGGGGGCAUUAGUAUUCAAUUGUCAGAGGUGAAAUUCUUGGAUUUAUUGAAGACUAACUACUGCGAGAGCAUUUGCCAAGGAUGUUUUCAUUAAUCAAGAACGAAAGUUAGGGGAUCGAAGACGAUCAGAUACCGUCGUAGUCUUAACCAUAAACUAUGCCGACUAGGGAUCGGAUGAUGUUAAUUUUUUAAUGACUCAUUC
RNAcentral lists this ribosomal RNA (483 nucleotides) under uncultured Glomeromycotina. RNAcentral describes it as "SSU rRNA". It matches the Rfam family "Eukaryotic small subunit ribosomal RNA", at positions 596 to 1081 of the family's 1831-position model. Lineage: Eukaryota; Fungi; Glomeromycota. The record is from RNAcentral.